RNAcentral lists this ribosomal RNA (290 nucleotides) under Staphylococcus aureus. RNAcentral's name for it is "partial 23S ribosomal RNA". It matches the Rfam family "Bacterial large subunit ribosomal RNA", at positions 252 to 538 of the family's 2925-position model. The record is from RNAcentral. Lineage: Bacteria; Bacillati; Bacillota; Bacilli; Caryophanales; Staphylococcaceae.
AGCGAAACGGGAAGAGCCCAAACCAACAAGCUUGCUUGUUGGGGUUGUAGGACACUCUAUACGGAGUUACAAAGGACGACAUUAGACGAAUCAUCUGGAAAGAUGAAUCAAAGAAGGUAAUAAUCCUGUAGUCGAAAAUGUUGUCUCUCUUGAGUGGAUCCUGAGUACGACGGAGCACGUGAAAUUCCGUCGGAAUCUGGGAGGACCAUCUCCUAAGGCUAAAUACUCUCUAGUGACCGAUAGUGAACCAGUACCGUGAGGGAAAGGUGAAAAGCACCCCGGAAGGGGAG